Non-coding RNA from Pelobates cultripes (western spadefoot toad), 309 nucleotides. NCBI's taxonomy places the organism in Eukaryota, Metazoa, Chordata, Amphibia, Anura, Pelobatidae. The record is from the annotation of a GenBank genome assembly.
AUACAAUAUUAUAAUACAAGUCAUGCAACGGACAUUAUUUAUAUAUCACCACAAUAUAACUAUGUAUUACCUGCAUUCCAAGGCCCAGUCAAUAAACAGUUAUGUGGUGUGUGAUAUGAACCAACUUGGAAAAUGUACAUCCAAAUUGCAAAGCUGAAAUCAUCUUGAAUGAAAUUGAGAUAUUUUUACACCUUUGUUUUUUUAACUUAAAUUCUGCAAGUCGGUUUAUCUAGUGAAUAGUUCAUAUAUUUGAUUGUCAUAAAAAAAGUCAAUGUACUCCACAAUGUCAGUAAAUUCAAAGAAUAUCAG